This 301-nucleotide ribosomal RNA is filed under the name uncultured bacterium. RNAcentral's name for it is "partial 16S ribosomal RNA". It matches the Rfam family "Bacterial small subunit ribosomal RNA", at positions 509 to 809 of the family's 1533-position model. The record is from RNAcentral.
CAGUCGCCGCGGGAAUACGGAGGGUGCAAGCGUUAAUCGGAAUUACUGGGCGUAAAGCGCACGCAGGCGGUCUGUCAAGUCAGAUGUGAAAUCCCCGGGCUUAACCUGGGAACUGCAUUUGAAACUGGCAGGCUAGAGUCUUGUAGAGGGGGGUAGAAUUCCAGGUGUAGCGGUGAAAUGCGUAGAGAUCUGGAGGAAUACCGGUGGCGAAGGCGGCCCCCUGGACAAAGACUGACGCUCAGGUGCGAAAGCGUGGGGAGCAAACAGGAUAAGAGACCCCGGUAGUCCCUGUCUCUUAUAA